RNAcentral lists this ribosomal RNA (253 nucleotides) under uncultured bacterium. RNAcentral describes it as "partial 16S ribosomal RNA". It matches the Rfam family "Bacterial small subunit ribosomal RNA", at positions 524 to 776 of the family's 1533-position model. The record is from RNAcentral.
UACAGAGGGGGCAAGCGUUAUUCGGAAUUAUUGGGCGUAAAGGGCGCGUAGGCGGCCUGGCAAGUGGAAGGUGAAAUCCCUCGGCUUAACCGAGGAACUGCCCUCCAAACUGCUUGGCUUGAGACCGGGAGAGGUGAGUGGAAUUCCCAGUGUAGCGGUGAAAUGCGUAGAUAUCGGGAGGAACACCUGUGGCGAAGGCGGCCCCCUGGUUGGAUACUGACGCUGAUACGCGAAAGCGUGGGGAGCAAACAGG